This is a long non-coding RNA of Accipiter nisus (Eurasian sparrowhawk), 2138 nucleotides long. The record is from Ensembl. Lineage: Eukaryota; Metazoa; Chordata; Aves; Accipitriformes; Accipitridae.
ACUAUUUAAGGAGGACAUUUUGUUUUGUCAAUCAAUUUCACAGUUCUCUUCGUUAUAAAACAACAGAAUUGUAGAAAAUCCUGGAGCAAAUGGCUGUGCUACUAGUAGUAAUGCAUGACAGAUUUAAAGAUAAUUAGCUUAUUUCUGUUACAAAUUUUAUUCCUAAAGAAUGACUCCAGGAUGGCUAAUUUAAAAUCUCUUUUGCUACUGACAGUUGCCUUAAAGAAAAGAUGUAGAAUAAUAGAGGAAGACUCAAUAGGCAAUGAGAAAAGCAGAGCAAAAGGUGGAGCAAUGAAGGCCUCAAAUACUGAUGAGUAUGAAUAAGUUGAACCAGCAGAUAAAGAACAACUUAAGAAGUAACAACCCUCUUACAGCAGGAUGUCAGAAAGGAAAAUUAUCACAAGCUGAACCUCACCGAGAAGGUAAGUGACAACAUCAAAAUGAGCUGUAGCAUAACUGUUAACGUUUAAACCCAAGAUACCUUUAGUGAUUAGUGAAGAAUAAGCUAUUCUUAACAGACGUGUUUGCUCCUCACAUCUGCCAUCCAUGUAAUUAAAGGAACUUUCCUCAGCAAGAUAGUAACAGUUGCUCUUGCCACAAUGGAAGCUGCUUUAACGAAGGUGUGUGGAAACAUAUGAAUUAGUCAUAAACUGGAGAGUGAUGUGCUAUUAAAUGAAGUCUUCAUGAGAACUCACAGAUACAGUAAGUAUAUCUUCUCUCUCUAGCUGCCAAAAAAAGGCCAGUUACACCAAGGCUCAUGUUUGAAGUAAAACUCCUUUCUGCCUCUGAAUGCCUCUGAGGCUUUCUGAAGCAGAAGGCAAAAACCACCUCUGAAAUAAAUUUAUUGUGUUUCCUGUAGAUGUAUGACUACCAGUAUCUACAGAACUGCAUAAAUUAUUAUCUUUUACUAGAAAGAUGAACAGACUUUUAAAAAGGCAGGAUCAUUUGACAGUCUUAAAAAGAUAGUUCUACACAGUUCAAAAAAAAAGAAAUCAACUGCUGAGAUUACACCUGUAUAAUAGUGGCAUUUUAGCUGUCUGGGAGUAAACACAAAUUCUUAUCAUUGCAAAGGAACACUUAUACUCACACAGCUCAAAAUUAGAUGAAUAUUAAGCUACUUCAUCACAUAUGAAAAGAAAAAAUGGUUGCAUUUCCUGGGUAAAACACGCAGGCAUGAUCACAAGACAGCCCUCUGCAACAACUAUUGAUCCUCACCCAUUUGUCCUCCCUGUCUUUCUCCUCAAAUACUUCCUUAUUUAUAAACAGCAACGUGACAUGAUUAUAUUCCACCAAUAAUGAAUGAUCUCUGAAUCCAGGUUAAGGUGAAAACUUUGAACUAUGUCUGUAAUGGCUAAAAACAUCAGCAUACAAUUUAAAAGUUGACACAUUAACAACUCGGGACUUAAACCUGGACACGUUCCCAACAUGUACUAGAAUUUCAUAUAUUCUAAUAACCAAAUUGUUUUAUUAUUCUGCUACAUCAUAAUCACCAGAACUACCACUUAUAAUAAACAUAGGUUAAGAAGUACAGCACAUAACAUUAUCUGUAUUAUUGCCAUUAUAAAACAAACAAACAAACCAACCACCCCAAACUCAACUUACAGACUGUGUCCACUAGGGAACAAACAGUCUAUAUCAACAGACACUCUUGGAUUAAGUCACACAUUCUUCAGCUUCCAAAUUGUUAUGGACCAAUCAAAGCAACAUUCUUCAUGAAAAUACAAAAAUAACAAAAAAAAAUAACGAGUGCAAAAUCAUAAUCCAAAAUAAUAUGCAAUUCUUCUUGUGUUAUCAAUGAUACUUACAGUAGGAAGGGAUCUAAUUUGGCUCCAAUGUUUUUUGCAAUACUAAACAAAAUCAAGUCAGAUUUCUUUUGGUUUCGUGUCAUUCAAACUCGGGUUGUUGAAAACUCUAUUUGCUGAAUUUUUAAUAUAGAAAUCAACCUUUUAUAUACAACAUAUCUCAAAUGGUAUUUUUAGACUAUUUUUAGUACAAUUAAACCUUUAUUUUAUGGGAUGAGAUAAUAAAAAUAAUAGAAGUAAUUCUAUUUCAAAGAGACACCAGGUUCCAACUGUAUCAAAGGAUAUAGUUGGAUGGACUUACCUGAUUUCCUAUUUUAAGUACAUUACUGAAUUCGU